Molecule: ribosomal RNA, 495 nt
Filed under: uncultured bacterium
Lineage: Bacteria
Description: partial 16S ribosomal RNA
Rfam family: Bacterial small subunit ribosomal RNA
Source: RNAcentral
GACGAACGCUGGCGGCGUGCCUAAUACAUGCAAGUAGAACGCUGAAGGAGGAGCUUGCUCUUCUGGAUGAGUUGCGAACGGGUGAGUAACGCGUAGGUAACCUGCCUGGUAGCGGGGGAUAACUAUUGGAAACGAUAGCUAAUACCGCAUAACAGUAGAUGUUGCAUGACAUUUACUUAAAAGGUGCAAUUGCAUCACUACCAGAUGGACCUGCGUUGUAUUAGCUAGUUGGUGGGGUAACGGCUCACCAAGGCGACGAUACAUAGCCGACCUGAGAGGGUGAUCGGCCACACUGGGACUGAGACACGGCCCAGACUCCUACGGGAGGCAGCAGUAGGGAAUCUUCGGCAAUGGACGGAAGUCUGACCGAGCAACGCCGCGUGAGUGAAGAAGGUUGUCGGAUCGUAAAGCUCGGUUGUAAGAGAAGAACGAGUGUGAGAGUGGAAAGUUCACACUGUGACGGUAUCUUACCAGAAAGGGACGGCUAACUACGUG